UUAAUCUCUUUUUUCCGUGAAUAUCCUUUUUUACCUAUAACCGGCUAAUUGGAGGUGUUUAUUAUUUUUUUUUGAGAAAAUUAAUUAUUCUUUAGUCUUUACUGAUUUAUUGAAUGAACUCACUACUCCCAAAACUUGCUUCUUCUCUCUCCUUCAUGCUCUACACCAUUAACUCAGGAAAUCAUUGCCCCAAGCUUCGAAGACAGCAAUUGAAGAAGACAACAAUACUCAAGCUUAAUCAAGCUACAUAACCGCAUACGAUGGCUAAUCUUAGUGAUUCAACUACAUUGAAGUUUUGGUAUGAUGGGGUAUUUAAAAAUGGAGUUGUGGGGUUAGAGUAUCUUUGUGGGAUGUGUAAAACCAUCUCUUUAGACCCAGAUAAGUUGUCUUUUUUGAGUUAAAAGGAACUGUAAAGGAAGAUUUUGGGGUAGAUUAUGAGUUUUCUCUUUGGUAUCAUCUAACUAAUGCUUUAAGCUUUGAGGAAGGAUUAAAAAGGCUUACUGAUGAUAUUUGUAUGGGGGAAAUGUCUAAGAUUGCUGUUGAAAAUAGAGCAUUAUCUGUAUAUGUAAUUAAUGAUAAGGAUGAUGCGAAGUUGAUUCUAGAAAUAUCGAAAAAUAUUAGUAAAAGCAGUAAAGUUUGGUAUACUGUUGUGAAUAGAAAAAAGUUAACCCCCAAGAGAGCAUCUAAGGCAAAAGAUUCCCUUAGUGAAAGCUCUAGUCCCCACAACAUCAAUAUAAAACCAAACAACCCACCCCAAAGUGACAUAUUUGUUGAAGUGGGAAACCAGUACAAACCUAUUCACACCACAAACUUAUCUUCAAAAUCAGAUCUAGUCACUGAAUCUAAAUUUAACCAACUUCAACAUGAUUUUCUGAAGAUGAGCUAAAGCUUGGUAAUAGUGUUAAGGUAAGUGAAGAAGAUGGAUCUGAGGAGGAUGAUUCACAAGAUGUUGAUUAUGAGUUAUCACUUGAUGAGGAAGGUGAGGAUGAGAUAUCAGAAGAGCUUAUCCAAAGUCAAGAUGUUGAUCAUGAGUUAUCACAUGAUGAGGAAGGUGAGUGUAAUAAAACUGAGGUGUUCUCUGAAUAUGAUAACAGUGAUGAUGAAGUUGAUGAUGCUACUGUAGUUCAUGGUAGGACUGAUUUUAGGAGGUUCAAAUGGAUUGUUGGACAAGUUUUUGGCAUCCCAGUUGAAUUUAAGGAGGUAAUGAAAUAUGCAGUUCAUUAGGGAAGAAAUGUGAAGUUUUGUUUGAGUGGCAAGGCUAGAUUGAAUAAGCUUGGUAUAAGAUGUAUUGAAGGUUGUCCCUUCAAGCUCUAUGCUAGUUGGGAUAAAACACGAGCUUCCUUUGUUGUCAAGAAAGUUAAUGAUGUACACACUUGUCAAAGAAAUAUGGAUUCAAAUUUUCAAUUCAAAGCUUCUUGGUGUGCAGAUCAGUUAUCAGUUACUUGAUUUAUUCAAGUCAAUGCCACACAUUCCUUCUGCAGAACUAGUUGAUAUUGUUAGGAAACAAUUUCAAAUGAUCAUUAGUAGGGGAUUUGCUUACAAGAUUAAGUAUGUUGCACAUAAGAGGUUACAUGGAUCCAUGAAACAACAUUAUCUUAAGCGCAUGAGCUAUGUCGGGGUUUUAGAACAAAGUAACCCUAAUAGCCACUUUGGUGUUGUUACUGAUGUAAGCACAAAUCCACCCACAUUUCAGAGACUCUUUGUUUGCUUUGAAGGGGUCAAAGAUGGUUGGGUAGGUAGGUGUAAGAAAAUAUUAUGCAUUAGUGGUUGUUUUCUAAAAACAUUCUUGGGAGAACUGCUAUUAAGUACAGUUGGGAGAGACCCUAAUGAACAAAUGUAUCCAUUGGCUUAGGCUGUUGUUGAGGGAGAAAACAAUGAGUCAUGGCAAUGGUUCAUUUCUAAAUUGAAAAAAUGCGUACCUCAUGAUGAUAGAAAAGAAUGGAUAGUUAUUUCAGAUGAACACCAGAGCAUUUUGAGGGCUGUCCAACUUGAGCUUCCAAAAGCAGAACAUCAGCAUUGUGCUAGGCACAUCUACGCAAAUUGGAACAAGUCAUUCAAAGGGGAAGAGAUGAAAUUAAUGUUUUGGAGAUGUGUUAAAGCAUACAACUUGGCAGAUUUUGAGGAAGCAAUUAAUGAGAUGGAGAAUGUAAAUCCGGUUGUUGUUGAUGCCUUCAAGAAAUGUGGUCCACAAUUGUUUUGUAGGUCUUUUGUCAAACUAGAAGGAAAGUGUGAUGUUAUUUUGAGCAAUAUGGCCGAAACUUUCAACUACAUUAUGAAUGCAAGAUCACAUCACUUAUUAGAUAUGCUUGAAGAAAUAAGAUCAAUGCUAAUGAGAGGAGGGCUAGUAAAAAGGAAGAGGCAUUGAUAAAGUGGAAGGGUUUGUUAUGUCCAAAAGUACAAAUAUGGUGUUGCAUCCAUUUUUUACUUGCAUAAAGAGAUUGAGUCUUACGUUGAUAAGUGCUAUGCUAAAGAGACUUAUUAGAGAGCCUAUGAAGGAAACAUCAAUCCUUGCGUUGGGGAGAGACAUUGGCCAAAAAUUGACAAACCUAUUGAUUCUCCUCCAAUAAAGAUUGGUCCUGGUAGACCACGGAAAAACAGAGUCAAGAGUCCGCAUGAAGAUCCUAAAAACCAGGGAAGCUCUCAAGACAUGACCUUCAAAUGACAUAUGGCAUUUGCAAUAAGGUUGGACAUAACAAAAGGAAGUGUCCGGAGAAGGAUAAAGCAGUUGAGCAACCACCUCCAUUGAAGAGAAGUAGAGGAAGACCAAAAAAGAUUGUUGAUGUAGUAACCACUAAACCAAAGUUAUCCCAUCACAACAUGUCUGCACAACCUUGUUCUUUAGGCAAAGGCAAUAGGAUAAUUAGAAUAGGAGAAGGGAGUAGAGGGGGUAAGACCGGAAGUGCAAGCCGAAGGAGUGGUGUAACUAUUGCUCAAAGGGGAAAGCCAAAGAAGAACCCUCCUGAAAUAGUAUCAACCCAAGCAUCGAUAAAAGAAGAAUUAAUGCUGCAAGACUUAGUGUCAUUUUGAUUAUUAUGGUGUAAUUUAUGGCUUAGAACAUUGUUCAAGCAUUUUGCGUUUUGGAAAACAAUUUAGUAGUUGUAGAUGUAAUUUAUGCUUAUCUAUGUAUGUAAUGGUAACAUUUUGGCUAUAACAUGUAUAUGAUUGAAGCUAAAAAUCUUGAUAAGAAGAAACCUUG
Long non-coding RNA from Amaranthus tricolor (Joseph's coat), 3196 nucleotides. RefSeq lists it as uncharacterized. The record is from RefSeq and is a predicted model, not a curated record. The transcript has 3 exons. NCBI's taxonomy places the organism in Eukaryota, Viridiplantae, Streptophyta, Magnoliopsida, Caryophyllales, Amaranthaceae.